Molecule: ribosomal RNA, 533 nt
Filed under: uncultured bacterium
Lineage: Bacteria
Description: bacterial SSU rRNA
Rfam family: Bacterial small subunit ribosomal RNA
Source: RNAcentral
UGGCCUUGACAUACUAAGAACUUUCCAGAGAUGGAUUGGUGCCUUCGGGAACUUAGAUACAGGUGCUGCAUGGCUGUCGUCAGCUCGUGUCGUGAGAUGUUGGGUUAAGUCCGCAACGAGCGCAACCCUUUUCCUUAUUUGCCAGCGGGUAAUGCCGGGAACUUUAAGGAUACUGCCAGUGACAAACUGGAGGAAGGCGGGGACGACGUCAAGUCAUCAUGGCCCUUACGGCCAGGGCUACACACGUGCUACAAUGGUCGGUACAAAGGGUUGCUACCUCGCGAGAGGAUGCUAAUCUCAAAAAGCCGAUUGUAGUCCGGAUCGCAGUCUGCAACUCGACUGCGUGAAGUCGGAAUCGCUAGUAAUCGCGGAUCAGAAUGCCGCGGUGAAUACGUUCCCGGGCCUUGUACACACCGCCCGUCACACCAUGGGAGUUUGUUGCACCAGAAGUAGGUAGUCUAACCGCAAGGAGGACGCUUACCACGGUGUGGCCGAUGACUGGGGUGAAGUCGUAACAAGGUAGGCGUAGAUGA